UGUCCAUCUGUGUUUCUAGCUUCUUGUUUUUCUUCUUUGGAGUUUUGUGCGGACUCUCCAGUAACAUUGCCAAGGGCUGAGUUAGGAUCGGACAGAGCACACGUCUGACUCC
Molecule: long non-coding RNA, 112 nt
Organism: Herpailurus yagouaroundi (jaguarundi)
Lineage: Eukaryota; Metazoa; Chordata; Mammalia; Carnivora; Felidae
Exons: 3
Source: RefSeq, a predicted model, not a curated record